Molecule: long non-coding RNA, 4352 nt
Organism: Peromyscus californicus insignis
Lineage: Eukaryota; Metazoa; Chordata; Mammalia; Rodentia; Cricetidae
Exons: 2
Source: RefSeq, a predicted model, not a curated record
CUGAGGUAUGCCUGACCCCCAAUUCUCCCUGGCCAUGCUCCAGCGCCCUGCAAGGUUACCAAUCCUCAGGACUGGCCAGCCCAGCAGAUUAGUUACCCUGCAGUUCCUGCGCCUGAAAGCUGCUUCUUUUCCACUAACUGAUCCUUUGAAGGACUAAAUGCAAAUGAGACAAGUACUCCUGUGGUACAAGUUACUCUGAUCAAGAUAAUUCUGAACUGAAUAUACCUGUCUGGCUGCUGUCAUUCAACUCUCGGCACACUGUGUUGUGGAAAGAAUGGCCUUGACCUCCCCAGAAGACUUCAGGGGGUCUUGCGCCAGACCACAUCUAAUGCUGGUUGCUGCAUGGGGUAGCUGGGGACCAUAUCUCUUCACAUGAGCAGUUGACUCUCGCUAGAAAGACAUGUUACUUUCACAUCUAUUGGUGUGUGACUUGAGUGAUAUCUCUUUUCACUUCAACCCCCGGAUAACAUCUGUAGGGGGCACAUCGAAGAUGCCACAUGCUCUGUGUCUUCCUCAGAGAAAUCCCAGGAAACCAGAAUGUGGCUGGCUUCCUAGGUGGUUUCUAUACCCUGGAUCUUCCCAGCAAGCUCGCAGAGAGAAACAGACUUCCUCAAGUCUUAUGAUGCAACAGAAUGAAGGUGGUGAGGGUGAACCUGGUGGUGGGGCUCCCCUGCACCCUCAGUGGGAGUGGACAGGGCAGUGCAGUUAAAAUCUGUCCUCUGGUCUGUCUGGUUGCUUGAGGUUUUCCUUUCAUUUUCAUCCCAAAAUGAUUGCUGUGUGUGCUGAGGUUUCAUGGUGAAAAUAUAAUGAGAACCUUCAUGAGGUUGGAAUGAGAGCCAGGAAAGAGCAUUGCUGGGUUUUUUCCCUGGGAAAGGGAGACCCUGGAGGCAGGAAAUGAAUCUGGCACCUCUGAGACCUUUGAGUCUUUGGAUCUUAGUUUUACAGUUCUUUCUCAGUAUGCCUUGUCUCAUAAUCACAGAGAAAGGGAAUACGCACUGAGAAAAGGUCCCACAGAGUAAUUGCUUAGAGUAAAAGCCUUGUCAUCUUGUAAGUGGUACCAGGGGAGGAAGAGGAAGGUCAGGGUGAGGCCAAAAGGGGGAGCCUCAGUUUCUCUAGCAGCCAUCAAAAGAAAACCAGAUAAGUGUCAAAUUGGUGCACUGUGGGUACCCAAACAACUAGGUAAAAUUAAAUCGUUGUUUGGGAUUUGUGAUGUUGAACAAUUAGCUUGUCUGGAACUCUCUCGCCACAAGUUAUUUUUCUCCUUUGGCCUCUGUGAAGAUGUGCACAGGCUCACACACCCAUACUCGCACUCUCCUCCUAAUAUACAUAUAUGCACCUGCACUUGGAAAUUUCCAAUUAUUUCCUCCUGUCUUAGUUAGGGUUCCUGGGCUGUGAUAAACACCAUCACCAAAAGCAACUCGGAGAGGAAAGCAUUUAUUUCAGCUGACACUUAGAUCCCAUUCUAUCCCCGAGGGAAGUCGGGACAGGAUCUCAACGUAGGAACUUGGAGAUGGACAGAGAAGCAGAAGCCAUGAAGGAAGGCCUGCUCAACUUGCUUUCUUACAUGUCUCAGGACCACUUGUCUAGGGAUGACACCACCACAGCGAGCUGGACCUGCCCACAUCAAUCAUUAACCAAGAAAAUGCCCCACAGGCCUGUCUAUAGGCCAAUCCGAUGGAGGCAUUCUCUCAAUUGAGGUUCAUCUUCCCAGAUAACUCUAGCUUGUGUUAAACUGACAAGAAAAUAACCAAGACGCCGCCCCCUCUCAUUUCUUUAUUGUUCUCAGAUACCAACUUCACUUCAUGUAUUCCCCGUUUUUUUGUUUGUAUGUUUGUUUAGAACAUCCCAUUGGAAACUCUGUUCUUCCUUUAUUGGUGGGUUUUAUCAACAGAGAACCCACCAGCCUGAGAUGGCCUUGGCUGUAUUUGGGGUACUGAGGUUCUCACUACACUUCAUAGCUGUUAUACAGUCACAGAACAGACAAUGUCCCUGCACUCAGAUUUCCUCAGUCUCUCCAUAUGUGUUUUUGACUUGCUUCCAUGCUGUCCAUGAAAAAGAGCAGUUUCUCUUGGAGAAUGAGAAGAAUGUGACUGUCCUCCCUGGACUGAUAUGCAAACUUAGAGACAGCAAAUUAUCCUUUUGUUUAUCUUAGCGUUAUUUUCCUGUUUUUUUCCCAAGUCAUAAAAGCAGCCUGAAACAAAAUUUUGGAGUCCUUAAAAUAAUGGAAAGAGAAUAUGAAAGUAUCUAUAUUUUUUGAAGUCCUCAUUGACACCCCCAAGGUCACUUACAAAACCUCAUUCUUCUUGGCUUAUUUGGCCCGGACACCCAUCAAAGGGGUUACCAGCUGGGAAGGCCAUUACUCAUCUUUGAUGUCAAAGAACAGUCUUUAUCUGGGUAGCCUAAAAGGGACAAAAGCCGACCUGUACAGGGAUGAGGUCCCCACUGUCAACUGUCUGGAAGGGGUAACCCAAUUGUUGUCGUAGGGUCAAGGGGAUUCAGCUUCUCUACCUACUAAUACCUUCUCCAGGUGAUGCUGUGACCAAGUCGGGUGGUGAAUGGCAGCUGUAGCAAUAAGGCCUCAGAAGGAAGUCAUCUCUGCUGAGAGGACAGCUCCUUCCUACUCUGGAAGUCCCAACACCCCUUUUCUUUCCUGCUCCCCGUAAGAAUCCCACUAGCUGGAGCCAAUUGACAUUUUCUGCUCAAUGGAGAAUGAGAAAAAUGAUUCCCCCCCUCAGAAGCAAUAAAUACAUUUUACCACUUCCAGCCUAUGGAUCACAUAGACCAAAUCUUCCGGUGUCCUAGAAUCCAAGACACAUCCAGCCCUCCAGCCACUGUGGUUGUUGGAAGAUGGAUCAGAGCUGCCGCCAAGAUAAGAAAGUUCCAGUUCAGACAUCACUGAGCUUUCCCAAGUCACCCUGUUCAAGGCAGAAGCAUCGCUGGAACACUACGUGCCUGGCCCGAGGUCAUUACCGUUUGGUCCUUGCUGCUCUGGCAGCAUUACACAUUGUCGGACUCCAAGGCUAGCCUCAAAUGUGUGUAACUCUAAAUCAGAGAUCUUCUAGGGACAGCCAAGGCAAGGAACUGAAACUGUCUUACCCACAAGAUGUAAAGAAAGUUUUGAUAAAAGUGAAUCUUAAUAUAGUAUGUUGGAAAGGGACCAUCUGUUCCCAAUCUUUAGAAGAGAGGGAAUGGGAAUUUAUGAUACAAUAUGAAGCUUGAGAUAAAGAGAGGAAAUUCCUAAUUUGUCUGGUUAUAGACCAAUAUACCAUCAAAGCAGACUGCUGUGGCUGUCUCUGGGCAUGUAAAGAGACAUUGCCAUUCUUUGCUAGUAAUUCAUCCCAAACCAUGUUUUAGUGAACAGAUCCCUGUAAUUUGGGGAGAUCUUCAACUAAGGCACCAGUAUCUCUCUGUUCUCUGCACGCUGCCUCUGUGGACUGGGUUUAUAUUUUCUACUCCUUGAAGGACAGUGGGGCCCUUACCCCACCAUGUUCCCCAGGUGGUUGGAGCAUAAAGCUCAGCCCAGUGCAGGUGUUGAGAAAGGCAGGGUCUAUAACCACAAUGCUUGUGUCUGUCCUCAGUCUGAGCUGUCACAUUGGAAACAUAAAACAUGUAGAGCAUGAGCAUCUGCCUGACCAGCAGCAGACAGUGCAGGGGUUGGCAGAUUGUUACCCUUCAAGAAACAUGUCCUGUGGUUGAUCAAAAUGUUUCAUAUCUCCCCUGUGUCACACAUUGAUGCAGGUGUUGCAACACCUUGUCAUAAGAAAAAAAACCCGGUUAACUGACAUGUAGGAAGUGGGUGGCAGUGCUGUGUGACACUAGACCAGGUCUCCCAGGGCCUCCCACACAUCCGCAUGCAUGUUCUUCCUCUUCCAGUUAAAAGUAAAGGCCUUGAGAACCUUCUGUCCUAAAGGACAGAAGAUGAUGGUACUGUAAGAGGGCAAGAACUCAGGGUUGACCUGUUCCUCAGAGAAGAGCCUCACUGACAAGCAACACACACCAGGGUGUCCACACUGGAGGCAAGUUAGCUACACUGAGCCAUUAGCACUCAGUUCUGCAGGAAACUUUAGGGACAAUGCCCGGGUGUUGUCCUCUUUAGAGGAUCAUAAACUGACGUUUCUUCCUAUGCUCCAGGGUGGACACUGAAACCACUGCCAUCUUCCAUAUGACGUCAGUCCUGGUGAAGUAGCGUGAGAUAACCCAUGCAGCUCAAAAAGGCUCUCCUCUGAAUAAAUGCUUGUUGAAUAAAUUAGUGACCUUCAGACUAUGACCCUUAUUGACACUGAAGGUUGUGAUUAAUUAUGUUAUGAAUAAUCUACCUUGCUUACUAUAUAUUAAAUAUGCAUUAAAAUUAA